GAGCGAACAGACGAGGAGCUUGCUCCUCUGACGUUAGCGGCGGACGGGUGAGUAACACGUGGAUAACCUACCUAUAAGACUGGGAUAACUUCGGGAAACCGGAGCUAAUACCGGAUAAUAUAUUGAACCGCAUGGUUCAAUAGUGAAAGACGGUUUUGCUGUCACUUAUAGAUGGAUCCGCGCCGCAUUAGCUAGUUGGUAAGGUAACGGCUUACCAAGGCAACGAUGCGUAGCCGACCUGAGAGGGUGAUCGGCCACACUGGAACUGAGACACGGUCCAGACUCCUACGGGAGGCAGCAGUAGGGAAUCUUCCGCAAUGGGCGAAAGCCUGACGGAGCAACGCCGCGUGAGUGAUGAAGGUCUUCGGAUCGUAAAACUCUGUUAUUAGGGAAGAACAAAUGUGUAAGUAACUAUGCACGUCUUGACGGUACCUAAUCAGAAAGCCACGGCUAACUACGUGCCAGCAGCCGCGGUAAUACGUAGGUGGCAAGCGUUAUCCGGAAUUAUUGGGCGUAAAGCGCGCGUAGGCGGUUUUUUAAGUCUGAUGUGAAAGCCCACGGCUCAACCGUGGAGGGUCAUUGGAAACUGAAAAACUUGAGUGCAGAAGAGGAAAGUGGAAUUCCAUGUGUAGCGGUGAAAUGCGCAGAGAUAUGGAGGAACACCAGUGGCGAAGGCGACUUUCUGGUC
Molecule: ribosomal RNA, 688 nt
Filed under: uncultured Staphylococcus sp.
Lineage: Bacteria; Bacillati; Bacillota; Bacilli; Caryophanales; Staphylococcaceae
Description: bacterial SSU rRNA
Rfam family: Bacterial small subunit ribosomal RNA
Source: RNAcentral